This is a long non-coding RNA of Neofelis nebulosa (Clouded leopard), 4475 nucleotides long. RefSeq lists it as uncharacterized. The record is from RefSeq and is a predicted model, not a curated record. The transcript is spliced from 3 exons. NCBI's taxonomy places the organism in Eukaryota, Metazoa, Chordata, Mammalia, Carnivora, Felidae.
GCAAAGAGAUAAAGGGGAACUGAGACCAGGGGGCCAGGCAGCAGCCGGCCGAGCGAACGAGGAGGCCGGGGCAGCCGGGGCAAGACAAGCAGGGCAGGUGCGUAGAAGCCCAGGGCAGGCGGUGGGCCUGGAGCUCAGGAUGUGCGGGAGAGGAAACCAGAAGCACGUUCCUGGGCCAGAUCCCAGCGGGGCCCAGAGGCCUCGCGAAGAAAUGAGGCCUCCACCCUGAAGACAGUGGACAUUUUCCUCCAGGCGAGGGGCAGAUUCUCCUUCUAGAAACUGCCCCAGGGGAUAAAGGGCAAGAACUCCCAGAGGAGUGCAAGAACGGAAGCGGGAAGACCCCAGAGAGAGAUGGUGGCCUGAUCCGAGGAGGCCUCAGGGGGCCCGACUGAGAGGCGGCAGGGUGGAGGGACAGGCCUGAAGGCUCCAGAUAGUUGGAUGAGUCUCGGAGAGCAGUCGGACGUGGGGUGAACACUACGGGGCAACAAGAAGUGUUUGAGCCUCGGGUGCCAUGGGAUGGUGCCCCUGAGAUGUCUCAGAUCUGCAGUCAGCAGACGUGUUCGGUCAAGAGCCACACAGUAAGUGUGCCUAGAUUCGGCAGGCCACGUCGUCUGUGUCAAAACUACUUUCUGUAGCUGUUGUAGCAUAAAAGCAAGCUGCCCGAGAUGGUACAGAAACAAACAGGCAUGCUUGUUUGCCAGUGACACUUUGUUUGCAAAAAAACAGUCGGCAAGCAGAUUUGACCUGUGGGCCAUCGUUUGCCGAUGCCUGCGCUAAAUCCAGAGCUGAUCCAGAUGUGGAGACCCCAAGAAAAGAGCCAAGCAAGGAAACUAAUCUCAUCAGCCUUUCCACCAGGCACCCAUUCCUAUUCCCAACCUGCUAAGAGUUAUGCCACCUCUUUGCUCACAUCUGGGUCUCUUAGGAACCCCAUUUAUGGUCCUCAAGAAUCACCCAGAACUCUGCUAGUCAGACCACAGACAACGUUUUCAUUCUCAUCCGUUAGCACCGACCCUGCACAUGCCCUGGUUUUCAUCUCCACCCAGGGCCAGGCCAUGGGUUUUAUUUCUGGACAAAGUGCUAGUGGGAGCAUAAAGGGACACGGCAACAAAAAUUUACCCGCGGUGUCACAAACGAAUUCACAAAGGCAACAUAGGGACUGGGGCUCUGCCGGGCCAAGAAGGAAAAAACGUACAUCCCAGGUAGAGGAAAGAAAUUAGUAAAUAGAAAACCCGUACAAUAAGAUUUUGAUUUUAGAAAGAUGGUUUCAAUAUGGUGGAGUAGAAGAGGGUGGGACCAGAGCAAGGAGACAAAACGACGAGCUGUUAUAAGAGCCCAGGCAAAUUAGGACAAAGAUCCCAACAAAGGGACGUCUCUUUCAUAGCAAUAGCAGCACAUCAAGUAACGGUGGAUCUUACAGUCAACAGCGUGUGUUGAAAACACAGUAGAAAAUCAAAUCACAGUCGAGCCGGUGCUGUGGACUGAAUCAGUGCGUUUUCCCAAAGUUCCUACGUUGAAAUCUUAACCCCCAGGGUGGCAAUGGUAUUAGGAGACAGGGUCUUUGGACAGUUAUCAGAUCACCAGGGUGGAGCCCGCAUGAUGGGAUCAGUGCCCUUACAGGCAGAGAUGCUUCCUCUCUGGCCUCUCCAUGUGAGGAUCCAACACGAAGUCAAGAGGUCAGCAGUCCGCAAACCAGGGAGGGGACACUUACCAGACACCAAUCUGCCAGCACCUCGAUCUUGGACUUUCCAGCCUUCAAAAAUGUGAGAAAUAGGUGUUUGUUGCUUAAGUCACCCAGUCUAGGAUAUUUUGUUGUAGCACCCAAACCAACACAGCUGGCAAGUCAUCAGAUAUGAACAGUUUCUAUCGUAAUAUUGAAAGAAUGGAGUGACCAAUGGAACAGGGGCAGUGGGAGAGGGGAUGGGCAUUGGUUAGGGUUAAGAAUAGAUUAACCAUAGGGUUAGAUAACAUUUAGGUUAGGAUUAAAAUUAACAGCUUGGCGUAGAAUCGAAGCUAUCACUGGUUCACUUCCCAUUUGAAACAUGAUUCGAAAGACUCUUGUAAUCUCUCUUACUUCACCAAUUCUAAGACGCGCUGUUUUUCGCAUUUUACGUAUCUAGUUUUACACGUUUAUUUUUCGCACCACUGCACGUAGGAGAUCUCCAAAUAUUCAUGUGUUUCCUCAUUUAAUUGCGGGACAUUUCUUUCAUAGCAAUAGCGGUACAUUAAGUAGCGGUGUUCAAAACACAAUAGAAAAUCAAAUUAUUCGUGUUAGUUCACAGGGAGCAGAACCAUCACUGGCGUGCAUUGUUUGCUAAUCGUAUUUUUAAAUCUUACAUCUUCAGCUCUUAGAGACCGUGAAGUACUUUCUCGAAGAAAAGCUAAUCAAGCUCACUUACGUAUUCAGCGCACUGUGUUUUCUGGAGGGGCCGCAGAGGGUUAGGUAGCUAACGUGGUGGUGUUCCGGCAGCGUGUGAGAACAUACGCCAAUUAAACAAUCACCAUUGAGGUGGCUUCUGCCAGAAGUGAGCAUGGCAUUCUUAAAAACGGAAGGUAAGAAACCAGAAAACAUCACAGCAAGAGGUAUGGAAGUUAAAUGCAGGCAUUUAGCAAACAGGUGAAUUCAGUAAACAAAACAGCUAUUUUUAAAACAGCUUGUGACUCAUUACCAACCUACUCUAUGAUUUGAGUUCAUUCAAAUAGGUCUUUUGUUGUGGUUCAAACCGGACUGUGUGAGUUGUGUAAUAAACAGAGUGUCAUGUGAACAUGUUAAUUGCCUGCCUCUGCAAGAGGGCUAGAAAUUUUAAAAGGUGCCUAAGCAUAAGAAAGAAAACCUCUCUGAACAGGAAUUCUGUUCUGUUUCCUGGCCACACAUCUAGAUGAAUGGAACCACCUCCUGAUGGGAGUCCCUGACCCUGAUCCUGUCUGUUCCAAACUGCUUCAUAUCUCUGCCACUCGGGUUCUUCUGAAGUACCAUUUUCACAUCUCUGUUGUACUCCAGAACCCCUAAUGGCUCCCUAGUGCCUCUUGACUAUUGUCCAAACGUGUGUGCCUGACUUGUAAGGCCCCUGAUGGAGUCUAAAUUCCCGCCCCCGGUUCCCACCGUUCCUCUCCUUGCGUCCUCUAACAAAAGCUGACUUCAGUCCACCCUCAAGGCCUUUUCUAAGAUGAUUUUCUCCCAAACUGGAAUGCCCCUUCCGAAACUCCUACCCAUCAAAUUCCACUCCUUCAGGGGGGCUUCCCCCGCUGCAGUCAACAGCCCUGCCAUUCCCAGAGCUCCCCUGUGACAGAAACCUGCGAUCCCAAUCCUGGUGACACAGCCACCCCAGGGAGCUCUGCAGAGGCGGCCAUUUUCUGUGUGACUAAGAUCCAUCGGCCAAAGCCGGCUGGAUCAGGAUGGGCUCCCAAUCUCAUCUGGACAGUCGACAGGCAUGCCGGUGGGCAGAUGAGUUAGCCAGGUGCAAAAGCUCUGCGGCAUUAAGGGUGAUGAGGUACAGGCAGACCAGUGAGAUCCCCUCUCCUGGAAAUGUGAACAGAAGAUCAAGAGAGAGACGGAGAGAGCUUAGAGGCCCAGGAGCGAAAACAUCAAGUGGUCAAGUUACGUUAACAGUAGAGCCUUAGCGAGGGAGCCAGAGUACCUGCUGCUGCCAGGCCACAAGAUUUUGCCCUGUUACAGGAGCAGCCUUGGACCCAGUACAGCCUCCCAAGUUCGCUUUCAACGGGGCUGGUCUAACUCAGUGUCUAUUUUCCCCAAGAACACUGUCUGUACACCUUAUCCUGGAUCCUUGUGAGGUCCAAACCACUGCCUGAGAUUUCUGUUGCCCCCAUGUAUCCAUACAGAAUUUAAGGGGACCUGAAUAAGUAUUAAAUCCAAAAACAAAAGGAGCUAACACGCACAGUGACCUUUCCCAGUCCCUGUGCCCCCACACAUCGGCAGCACUUCUAACCUGAAGCAUGUCAUUUGGUACUCACUACGGAAUGUCUCUCAAGGUCACUAACUUUGCACGUGCAUUAAUUUUGCUUCCCGACAGAUCAUACACUUCCUCAGGGCAGGCCUCGUGGCUCACAUUUCUUUUUUCUCUCUCUUGUCCCGUAUGACCUUGAAAAAGUAAUUUAAUCUCCCCAAGAAUCAGUAUUCUCAGAUGACAGUGGUACCUACUUUCAAGGUUAAUUGUGAAGAAUCAAUGGAAGCAUGUCUAUAAAGUGUUUGGCACAGUGCCUGGCACACACUGAGUGUCUGUCAAGUGCUGCUGGAGGAAGUGAUGGCAGUGGGGGUGUAAUGCUGGUGACGGUCGGAUAGUGGUAUUGGUGGUAGUCGUAGCGGUGGUGAUGGUGGUGGUGGCAGUGGUAGUAGUGACAGUGAUGCUGGUGGUGCUGAUGGUGACAGUGACGGUGGUAGCAGUACCGGUGAUGGGAUGGUGGUGGUUGCGCGAGGUCAUGAGAGUAGUCAUAGAUGGUGGUAGUGGUAGUAGUGACAG